AUUGAACGCUGGCGGCAUGCCUAACACAUGCAAGUCGAACGGAGGUAGGGGCAACUCUACUUCAGUGGCGGACGGGUGAGGGAUGCGUCGGAAUCUACCCUAUGGUGGGGGAUAACACAGGGAAACUUGUGCUAAUACCGCAUAAUGUCGAGAGACCAAAGCAGGGGACCGCAAGGCCUUGCGCGAUAGGAUGAGCCGACGCCCGAUUAGCUAGUUGGUAGGGUAAAGGCCUACCAAGGCGACGAUCGGUAGCUGGUCUGAGGAGGAUGAUCAGCCACACGUGGGACUGAGACACCGGCCCAGACUCCGUACGGGAGGCAGCA
RNAcentral lists this ribosomal RNA (323 nucleotides) under uncultured bacterium. RNAcentral describes it as "bacterial SSU rRNA". It matches the Rfam family "Bacterial small subunit ribosomal RNA", at positions 30 to 353 of the family's 1533-position model. The record is from RNAcentral.